CCUACGGGAGGCAGCAGUGGGGAAUAUUGCACAAUGGGGGAAACCCUGAUGCAGCGACGCCGCGUGAGUGAAGAAGUAUCUCGGUACGUAAAGCUCUAUCAGCAGGGAAGAAAAUGACGGUACCUGACUAAGAAGCCCCGGCUAACUACGUGCCAGCAGCCGCGGUAAUACGUAGGGGGCAAGCGUCAUCCGGCUUUCCUGGGUGUAAAGGGAGAGUAGACGGCAGCACAAGGCUGGAGUGAAAGGCCGGGGCUUAACCCCUGAACUGCUUGGGAAACUGUGCGGCGGGAGUGCAGGAGGGGUAAGCGGAAUUACUAGUGUAGCGGUGAAAUGAGUAGAUAUUAGGAGGAACACCGGUGGCGAAGGCGGCUUACUGGACUGUAACUGACGUUGAGGCUCGAAAGCGUGGGGAGCAAACAGGAUUAGAUACCCUAGUAGUC
Molecule: ribosomal RNA, 440 nt
Filed under: uncultured bacterium
Lineage: Bacteria
Description: partial 16S ribosomal RNA
Rfam family: Bacterial small subunit ribosomal RNA
Source: RNAcentral